GAAAACAUCGUGGUGGUCUCCUUCAGAAAUACAGACCAUCCUUUACAAAUCUCACAUUUGCUCUUCAAUGGCAUUUAACGCUGGUGGAUGUCUUCAGGUCUGAGGGAAAGAGUCAUGCGAGCAAUGAGGAAACGAAGGACAAAGACAUGGAAAUUAAGCGGCAAGCAGAUUUUUUUUUUAAAAGGGCCACACAAUUAGACAAAAUGUUAAUAUUUAUAGAAAUAGUUGAAUCAGCUCAACAACUAUAAAUAAACUCAGAUGGACAGAUUCCUGCACAAGUCAGAGAGAUGAUUUCUGGGCUUGAAUCCUGUUGCUUCAGGGCGACGACCGGUCGCCAUGAGAUGAUGGAGAUGUCACUCACAGGAAGGGUGGCAGAUAUGCACCGAGAUUCACUUUGCUACCUGGAGACCGACAGCCUCGCUGCUCGGCCAAUCAGAGGUUGUGAAAAACAGCCUCCUGCUCCUCCAUUGGUCCCCUGCUCCCCAGAGUUCAUUCCUCUAUCAAUGCCCUGUCAUUGUGUUGUCUGGCACUGCCAAAGCCAAUUAUACUGCCUCCUUUUCUUCUAUUCGGAGCUCUUUUCUCUCAUAGACCCCCUUCACACUUUUAACACCAUGAACACACACACACACACGCACACAGACUGACGCAUGCAUACCAAUCUCCUCUAGCUCCUCAGAAUGUCAUGAUGGAGUCUGAGAAUCAGGAGGACCUGAAACUCAUAGUAAUGAGACUUCUAUAUAAAUCGCUGGUAACCCUCAUAUCUGAAAACUAUUAGAAUAAAAAAAUGAUAAAUAAUGGAGGUGCAAGAUAAAUACGUCAAGUAUUUUAAGUUUUUCUCCCUACAUAGUUUUUUUCCUCAGUACCAUCUUACACCUGUUGCCUAUAUUUGUCUCGUUUAUGCUGCAAGACCAUCUGGUUUAAAGAAAAAAAAUAUAAUAGGAUGCCCUGUGAAAGUCUAGCAUAUUUGAACAUAUGAAUAUUAAUACUUUUGACAAAACUAAUAACUAAAGAAUAAAAUCUUAAAACAACAAAAAAAAAUUCCCAGACUGCCCACCUCUGGUUUUAAUUAGAAAGUGAAAAUACAGUUCAGGCUUUCAAAUUUGCAGCAGUUAAGACCGUUUAUAGAUUUCAUUGUAAGACAGGGCUGUAAAACAAA
Long non-coding RNA from Poecilia latipinna (sailfin molly), 1156 nucleotides. RefSeq lists it as uncharacterized. The record is from RefSeq and is a predicted model, not a curated record. The transcript has 3 exons. Lineage: Eukaryota; Metazoa; Chordata; Actinopteri; Cyprinodontiformes; Poeciliidae.